RNAcentral lists this long non-coding RNA (1262 nucleotides) under Salmo salar (Atlantic salmon). Its description in RNAcentral is "lncRNA (ENSSSAG00000104803.1)". Lineage: Eukaryota; Metazoa; Chordata; Actinopteri; Salmoniformes; Salmonidae. The record is from RNAcentral.
AAGGGGGGGGGGCGCCAACCCAGACAGGAAGACCACGUCAGUGACUCAACCCACUCAAGUGACGCACCCCUCCUAGGGACGGCAUGGAAGAGCACCAGUAAGCCAGUGACUCAACCCCUGUAAUAGGGUUAGAGGCAGAGAAUCCCAGUGGAGAGAGGGGAACCGGCUAGGCAGAGACAGCAAGGGCAGUUCGUUGCUCCAGUGCCUUUCCGUUCACCUUCACUCUCCUGGGCCAGACUACACGGGUCGGGGACCCUUGGUCUUGUUGUUCCAUCUCCAAGUAUGUGUACUCGGUGGAAAGCCACCUUGUUUACAGUCUCUAUAGGACGUUUCAAGGAGGAUUGCAUGAAUUCUCUGAUCGUGCCCUCUGGAUUAUUGGAUGCGUCCUCAUGAAUCCCAGAUUUUUUUUUUCACGCAUUCUAUAACUUUGUAUGUCUAGUAGCGACUCCUUCAUCAUCCUAUUAACCCUGAAUAGACAAUCCAUAUUGGAAUCGUGGAUUUUUACCUUGGCUGUGAGUGCCUUGUUUUCUCCUUGGAGCGUGAGAAUUUCACUCUGGCUAACUCCAAACACUCCCUCAGCCCUGCUACCUCCUCACACAACUUUUCCAGUGUUGCAUGGAUUCCAGCCAGAGCACUGGCCUCUACUUCAACGCACUUUUAGGUGUCAGAGGCAACGGGAGAGAGGGGCUGUCGAAGGAUGCAUUGAGAUUCAGGAACAAGUGUGUAGACUGCAAACACCUGUCUCUCCUUAGAAAGCAUCCUCCAUUUGUACCAUGCAGUAUCUGUAGGUUCCUGUAAUCCAUCCAGAGUGAAGCCCUGCAAGCACCUGCAGCUGCAAACCCCUGAGAUGACGAGCACAGGGGACGGGACGGGAAGUAGUGGACGGAAGAAAGGAUAUAGGGAUGAGGACAAACAGAAGAGAGGAACACAAGGAGGGAGAGAUGUGUGAACAAAAAGAGCAAAAAUAACAGGUUGGGAGGAGACAGCAGGAUACAAAGGAGGAGGGGAGGAAGAGAGAGGAUAUCUUUGGAUAGCACAAUUGUUUAUACAAAUCAUGUUCCUCUGAUGACACAUUUCUGUAUUACCGCAAUCAAAACAAAAAUGUACUUUGUAACCGAGAACCCAGAUGAAACAUCUGGUCAUUAGCAAACACAUACAGCAGUCCUAUCCUCUGUUAUAAGAUGGUAACAGGUGGAGGAGAGAGCAGAAAGGGAGAGAGAAGAGGAGGAGGGUAGGAGGAGAGGAGGAGGAGGAGAGUGAGG